This 820-nucleotide ribosomal RNA is filed under the name uncultured bacterium. Its description in RNAcentral is "bacterial SSU rRNA". It matches the Rfam family "Bacterial small subunit ribosomal RNA", at positions 8 to 826 of the family's 1533-position model. The record is from RNAcentral.
AGAGUUUGAUCAUGGCUCAGGAUGAACGCUAGCGGCAGGCCUAACACAUGCAAGUCGAGGGGUAAUCGCGCUUUCGGGCGCGAACGACCGGCGCACGGGUGAGUAACGCGUAUACAAUCUGCCUCAUAACGGGGAAUAGCCCAGGGAAACUUGGAUUAAUGCCCCAUGGGAUCGACCGGUCGCCUGACCGGUCGAUUAAACAUUUAUGGUUAUGAGAUGGGUAUGCGUCCCAUUAGCUAGUUGGCAGGGUAACGGCCUACCAAGGCAGCGAUGGGUAGGGGCCCUGAGAGGGGUGUCCCCCACACUGGUACUGAGACACGGACCAGACUCCUACGGGAGGCAGCAGUGAGGAAUAUUGGACAAUGGGCGGGAGCCUGAUCCAGCCAUGCCGCGUGCAGGAAGACGGCCCUACGGGUUGUAAACUGCUUUUGUACGGGAAGAACCCCACGCUUGCGAGCGUGGCUGACGGUACCGUAAGAAUAAGGAUCGGCUAACUCCGUGCCAGCAGCCGCGGUAAUACGGAGGAUCCGAGCGUUAUCCGGAAUCAUUGGGUUUAAAGGGUCCGUAGGCGGGGCGUUAAGUCAGUGGUGAAAGUCGGUAGCUCAACUAUCGAACUGCCGUUGAAACUGAUGUCCUUGAGUUGUUGUGAAGUGGUCGGAACGUGCAGUGUAGCGGUGAAAUGCAUAGAUAUUGCACAGAACACCAAUUGCGAAGGCAGAUCACUAACAACACACUGACGCUGAUGGACGAAAGCGUGGGUAGCGAACAGGAUUAGAUACCCUGGUAGUCCACGCCGUAAACGAUGGUCACUAGCUGUCCG